CCUACGGGCGGCAGCAGUCGGGAAUAUUGCACAAUGGGGGAAACCCUGAUGCAGCGACGCCGCGUGAGUGAAGAAGUAUUUCGGUAUGUAAAGCUCUAUCAGCAGGAACGAGACAAGACGGUACCUGACUAAGAAGCCCCGGCUAACUACGUGCCAGCAGCCGCGGUAAUACGUAGGGGGCAAGCGUUAUCCGGAAUCACUGGGUGUAAAGGGAGCGUAGACGGCUGAGCAAGCCUGAAGUGAAAGGCGGGGGCCAAACCCCCGGACUGCUUUGGGAAAUGUACGGCUGGAGUGAAGGAGGGGUAAGUGGAAUUCCGAGUGUAGCGGUGAAAUGCGUAGAUAUUAGGAGGAACACCAGGGGCGAAGGCGGCUUACUGGACUGUAACUGACGUUGAGGCUCGAAAGCGUGGGGAGCAAACAGGAUUAGAUACCCCGGUAGUC
This 441-nucleotide ribosomal RNA is filed under the name uncultured bacterium. RNAcentral's name for it is "partial 16S ribosomal RNA". It matches the Rfam family "Bacterial small subunit ribosomal RNA", at positions 338 to 795 of the family's 1533-position model. The record is from RNAcentral.